This 460-nucleotide ribosomal RNA is filed under the name uncultured bacterium. Its description in RNAcentral is "partial 16S ribosomal RNA". It matches the Rfam family "Bacterial small subunit ribosomal RNA", at positions 338 to 795 of the family's 1533-position model. The record is from RNAcentral.
CCUACGGGAGGCUGCAGUGAGGAAUAUUGGUCAAUGGACGAGAGUCUGAACCAGCCAAGUAGCGUGAAGGAUGACUGCCCUAUGGGUUGUAAACUUCUUUUAUAUGGGAAUAAAAUGUCUCACGUUUGGGUUUUUGUAUGUACCAUAUGAAUAAGGAACGGCUAACUCCGUGCCAGCAGCCGCGGUAAUACGGAGGAUCCGAGCGUUAUCCGGAUUUAUUGGGUUUAAAGGGAGCGUAGGUGGAUUGUUAAGUCGGUUGUGAAAGUUUGCGGCUCAACCGUAAAAUUGCAGUUGAAACUGGCAGUCUUGAGUACAGUAGAGGUGGGCGGAAUUCGUGGUGUAGCGGUGAAAUGCUUAGAUAUCACGAAGAACUCCGAUUGCGAAGGCAGCUCACUGGACUGCAACUGACACUGAGGCUCGAAAGUGUGGGUAUCAAACAGGAUUAGAUACCCUUGUAGUC